UAGGGAAUCUUCGGCAAUGGGGGCAACCCUGACCGAGCAACGCCGCGUGAGUGAAGAAGGUUUUCGGAUCGUAAAGCUCUGUUGUAAGAGAAGAACGUGGGUGAGAGUGGAAAGUUCACACAGUGACGGUAACUUACCAGAAAGGGACGGCUAACUACGUGCCAGCAGCCGCGGUAAUACGUAGGUCCCGAGCGUUGUCCGGAUUUAUUGGGCGUAAAGCGAGCGCAGGCGGUUUAAUAAGUCUGAAGUUAAAGGCAGUGGCUUAACCAUUGUUCGCUUUGGAAACUGUUAAACUUGAGUGCAGAAGGGGAGAGUGGAAUUCCAUGUGUAGCGGUUAAAUGCGUAGAUAUAUGGAGGAACACCGGUGGCGAAAGCGGCUCUCUGGUCUGAAACUGACGCUGAGGCUCGAAAGCGUGGGGAGCAAACAGG
This 429-nucleotide ribosomal RNA is filed under the name bacterium. RNAcentral's name for it is "partial 16S ribosomal RNA". It matches the Rfam family "Bacterial small subunit ribosomal RNA", at positions 355 to 776 of the family's 1533-position model. The record is from RNAcentral.